This 449-nucleotide ribosomal RNA is filed under the name uncultured bacterium. RNAcentral's name for it is "partial 16S ribosomal RNA". It matches the Rfam family "Bacterial small subunit ribosomal RNA", at positions 29 to 523 of the family's 1533-position model. The record is from RNAcentral.
AACGAACGCUGGCGGCAUGCCUAACACAUGCAAGUCGAACGAUAUCUUCGUGUCUAGUGGCGCACGGGUGCGUAACGCGUGGAAAUCUGCACUUUGGUUUGGAAUAACAGUUGGAAACGACUGCUAAUCCCGGAGGAUGACGAAAUUACAAAGAUUUAUCGCCAGAAGAUGAGCCCGCGUAGGAUUAGCUAGUUGGUGUGGUAAAGGCGCACCAAGGCGUCGAUGCUUAGCUGGUCAGAAAGGAGGAUCAGCCACACUGGGACUGAGACACGGCCCAGAAACCUACGGGAGGCAGCAGUGGGGAAUAUUGGACAAUGGGCGAAAGCCUGAUCCAGCAAUGCCGCGUGAGUGAUGAAGGCCUUAGGGUUGUAAAGCGCUUAGACCUGGGAUGAUAAUGACAGUACCGGGAGAAUAAGCUCCGGCUAACUCCGUGCCAGCAGCCGCGGUAA